Molecule: ribosomal RNA, 422 nt
Filed under: uncultured bacterium
Lineage: Bacteria
Description: bacterial SSU rRNA
Rfam family: Bacterial small subunit ribosomal RNA
Source: RNAcentral
GGGCCCGCACAAGCGGUGGAGCAUGUGGUUUAAUUCGAUGAUACGCGAGGAACCUUACCAGGGCUUAAAUGUAGUUUGACCGGUCUGGAAACAGACUUUCUCUUCGGAGCAGAUUACAAGGUGCUGCAUGGUUGUCGUCAGCUCGUGCCGUGAGGUGUUAGGUUAAGUCCUGCAACGAGCGCAACCCCUAUUCUUAGUUGCCAGCGGUUCGGCCGGGGACUCUAAGAAGACUGCCAGCGCAAGCUGAGAGGAAGGUGGGGAUGACGUCAAAUCAUCACGGCCCUUACGUCCUGGGCUACACACGUGCUACAAUGGUAGAGACAGAGGGCAGCCACCUGGUGACAGGGAGCGAAUCCUUAAAAGCCAUCUCAGUUCGGAUUGGGGUCUGCAACUCGACCCCAUGAAGUCGGAAUCGCUAGUAA